GGGGAGUCUGCCCGUGGGCCCCUCAGUCAUAUCCCUCCUUGUGGCAGGUCUCUGCCUUGGGGGUGGAGUUCCUGUCAAUACCUUGUCCCUGUCUCUCCUACUCCUUUCUAAGUGGUCCCUCUAUUAUUUGUUGUGCAGAAGCUGUUCAAUAAGCCCUCACUUCUUCAGGAGGAAUUGCUCUCUACCUAAGUGUAGAUUUGGUGUGUCCGUCGGGGGAGUGCUUGUGGUCCAUAGCAAUUGAUGAGGCCCCAAAUGAUGUCAAAAACUAAUUUAUUCUGAAGCAGGAAUUUGCAAACUAUGGCCUAUGGCUUGUUUCUGUUCAACCCUCAAGAAAGAAAAAUUGCCAACCUUUGCUCUAAAGCAUAAUUGAGGAAAAAUAAAGGAAAAAUGGAACAGGUGAACCUAAGGGUGCUUAUCCUUAAGUUAGAAGUCAUUCCUGGUCUCUGCUUUUCCUGAACUGGACUCAGCAGCCCUCCAAGUACAAUUUUUAGAGACCAACUGGAAAAAGAAAGAACUGAAAGCUUCUAAGAAACAUCUGUCUUCAGAGGAAGGAGAGAGGAACUCCUGUCAGAGAUGGCCAUGGUCCUUCAUUUGUUACUCUACCAUUCCAGUCCUAUAGAAGUAUCAGGGCAGCUAAAAUGGAAUACUGCUAUGAAAAUUCAACAAAAUUGAUAAAAUGUGAAGAAAUUGAUUGGAAUAGCUUUCCAGAGGUUAACUUGAAUUAUAAAGUAAUAGUAGUUGUUGAAUAAAGAAGAGCAGGUAAUUGUAAGGCUUUUUCUCGCGUGUGGGAUAGAUGGAGGAGGAGAAUUGGAUUUCUUGGACUGUGCUUGAGAAUUAAGUUAAGGAUGGAGGUACAGAAGAGAUGAGAGAUGACACAAGGUAUAUUUCAAUGGAAAAGUAAUAGUUAAUAUGUGCUUGCUUCUGGGGAUAACUGGAAGCCAGAGGCCUAGGAAUGAAUUAAGGAGAAAGAAAGUCAUAGCCUGCAUGAAUUUACGAAAGUAAGAAAAGCUAACUAAGGAUGUUCCUGUUAUAUUUCAAUCCACGGAAGCGGUAGAGCUGAUUCAAAGGAUACACAAAUUAUGAUAGAAGAAAAAAACCUGGAAUUGACUCAUAGUUUCUUUGUCCCAAAGUAGUGUAUUUUCUUUUUUAAAAUUAGAACUCAGGCCACUAAAUUUGUUAUUGUGCUAAAACUAGGAACAGAAUUGGAUUAUCUCCUGGUUUUGACUUUCUCCUUGGGAAUAAACUUUUACUACAAAGUAGAUUGUGGCAUAUAGUAACGGUAUUUUUAUUGUACAGCUCGUUGGUUUGUAUUAAAUUCCCACCCCAAGAUCUGCCUUCUUUUUACAAGGAAACAUUGUUCUAUGGGAUUGUGUGUUUAGAUAUGCAUUUAAAACAUGUCUACCACCUUAGGAGAAAAAAUAGCCUCUGAGAUUUGGACCACACAUUGUUGGUACAGAAGCUGAAGAUGAUGUUUUCAUUUACCUCACAAAAUGCCACGCUUUUCUGUGUUUAAUUUCUAUUUCCUUCUUUCCCUCUACUUUUCACCCUUUUUGCAUAGUUAAAUCUUCAAAUCUGGUAAAAAAAAAAAAAAAACAAAACCUCAACCCCACUACAUUUAUUCUAAAUUCACGAGGAUUGUAUUUACUUAAAAAAAUACUUCUUUCAGGAUUGACACAGUACUUCUGCUUUCAGUAAAUCCAACAAUACUCAGUGUUACUGGAUGUUGGAUGGUAGCUUCACAGCAUUAAGAAUGCAGCAUGCAGCAUGAUGAAGAUCAAAAUGACUUACGCAGGCUUGAGCAGCUGUGCUGCCCAUAGGGUCAGGCAUUCUAGUUGGUGUGAUGAAACGUUUAUAAAUUAAACCAUUCAUGUGCAUUUUGUAUUGAUUUUCUAACAUACAAAAUGAGUGUCUUACCAGCAGAAUAAAAUACAAUAAAAUAUGUGUUUUUUUAAAUUGUGGGA
Equus asinus (donkey) is the source of this 1961-nucleotide long non-coding RNA. NCBI's taxonomy places the organism in Eukaryota, Metazoa, Chordata, Mammalia, Perissodactyla, Equidae. The record is from Ensembl.